AUAGAUUCUUGGUUUGUAAGCCUAUUUUAAUUAGGCAACUUAAGUUUGUAUUGCAUAUUGUAUAUUCAACUUUUGUACCAUUUUUAAGUCUUACGCAUUUUAUAUAGAGAAAUGAAAAUCACAUCUCUGCUGAGAUCAAAACCUGUCUCUUGCGAUUUCCACUACUUGAUGCUAUCUGACUUUCUUUGCUAUUUGAAUGUUGUGUUAUAUUUUCUAGGCUGAUUUUAAAGUUGUGUUUGUAUAGCGCAAAUCAAAUUUCACAUCUAAGAUGUCAUGCAUGGGAUAAAUUUUGGUGGCAAUACCAUUCAUGAAUGGAAAACGUACUUCAGAUAGAACUAAAGUGCACAUUGUUCUUUUUGCUAGUAAUUAAGUGUAUUUCCUGCUCACUUGAGCUUCUCUUAAUGAUAUGUUCAAAUAUCUUGUGUUUAUGUUCAAAUAGCUUGUGUUUGUCCUUGAGUUCGCAUUUCAUCAACUUGCCUUCUCUAAAACAAGGAAAGUUUUAAACCUGGAAAGAUCUUGGCUGAUGCAUUUUUAAGUUUGAUAAUCUUAAUCUACCCUUGCUUUGAUUUCCAUCUUCACUGUGCCUGUUUGAACUGCAAAAGUGCACUGGACAACACCCGCUGUGCAGGAUGGAACACUGAUCCACCCAUUCCUCUCUCGCUCUCACAGUAUGGUCCAUUGAAACACUUUUUGUUGUGGGAGAACCACGGGGGUUGAGGCAUUCUGUAAAUUAUACUGUCUAGUUUGUAAAGUGUGUAAUGUGUACUGCAGAUGUGUAUUCUCUGGGCUCUAUGUAUCUUUACAGUAGUGUUCAAUUUAGGAAAAAAAUAAAUUGUGGACACGUUUUGCUGGUAACAAGGGGAAAUUUUUUGCCAUUGCAUCAAAUGAUGCUGAAAUAUAUUAAACUCUUGAUAGCAGACCCUAACCCUCCUUCCCCCAUCCCAUGGAGAUAAGUCUUUUAUCUUCGUUCUAAAAUUCUAUCAUCUCGGAUGGAUGGAUACACUGGCAGACUGCAUGAUGUAUCAUUCGAAAACCGCUACAGUGGAAAAUAAAAC
This 1055-nucleotide long non-coding RNA is filed under the name Strigops habroptila (Kakapo). RNAcentral's name for it is "lncRNA (ENSSHBG00005017888.1)". Lineage: Eukaryota; Metazoa; Chordata; Aves; Psittaciformes; Psittacidae. The record is from RNAcentral.